AAUAGAUACCCGGGUAGUCCACGCCGUAAACGAUGAGUGCUAAGUGUUGGGGGGUUUCCGCCCCUCAGUGCUGCAGCUAACGCAUUAAGCACUCCGCCUGGGGAGUACGGUCGCAAGACUGAAACUCAAAGGAAUUGACGGGGGCCCGCACAAGCGGUGGAGCAUGUGGUUUAGUUCGAAGCAACGCGAAGAACCUUACCAGGUCUUGACAUCCCGGUGACCACUAUGGAGACAUAGUUUCCCCUUCGGGGGCAACGGUGACAGGUGGUGCAUGGUUGUCGUCAGCUCGUGUCGUGAGAUGUUGGGUUAAGUCCCGCAACGAGCGCAACCCUUAUUCUUAGUUGCCAUCAUUCAGUUGGGCACUCUAAGGAGACUGCCGGUGAUAAACCGGAGGAAGGUGGGGAUGACGUCAAAUCAUCAUGCCCCUUAUGACCUGGGCUACACACGUGCUACAAUGGACGGUACAAACGGUUGCCAACCCGCGAGGGGAGCUAAUCCGAUAAAACCGUUCUCAGUUCGGAUUGUAGGCUGCAACUCGCCUACAUGAACG
RNAcentral lists this ribosomal RNA (550 nucleotides) under uncultured bacterium. RNAcentral describes it as "bacterial SSU rRNA". It matches the Rfam family "Bacterial small subunit ribosomal RNA", at positions 777 to 1325 of the family's 1533-position model. The record is from RNAcentral.